AGCAGCCGCGGUAAUUCCAGCUCCAAUAGCGUAUAUUAAAGUUGUUGCAGUUAAAAAGCUCGUAGUUGAAUUUCGGGACCAUCAUGUUGGUCGUGCCUCGGUACGUACUGGCAUUGUUGGUUUCUCCCUUCUGACGAACCAUGAUGUCAUUUAUUUGGUGUCGUGGGAAAUCAGGACUGUUACUUUGAAAAAAUUAGAGUGUUUAAAGCAGGCUCACGCUUGAAUACAUUAGCAUGGAAUAAUGAAAUAGGACGUUUGAUUCUAUUUUGUUGGUUUCUAGGAUCGACGUAAUGAUUAAUAGGGAUAGUUGGGGGCAUUAGUAUUCAAUUGUCAGAGGUGAAAUUCUUGGAUUUAUUGAAGACUAACUACUGCGAAAGCAUUUGCCAAGGAUGUUUUCAUUAAUCAAGAACGAAAGUUAGGGGAUCGAAGACGAUCAGAUACCGUCGUAGUCUUAACCAUAAACCUAUGCCGACUAGGGAUCGGAUGAUGUUAAUUUUUUAAUGACUCAUUCGGCGCCUUA
This 520-nucleotide unclassified non-coding RNA is filed under the name uncultured Glomus. RNAcentral describes it as "SSU rRNA". It matches the Rfam family "Eukaryotic small subunit ribosomal RNA", at positions 569 to 1090 of the family's 1831-position model. The record is from RNAcentral. Lineage: Eukaryota; Fungi; Glomeromycota; Glomeromycetes; Glomerales; Glomeraceae.